CAGAGAACAUGCCCUUUGGGGUAUAUCUCCCACCCUUUGUUUACACACCUUUGUUGCUUUGGCAGGCCCGUCUAAUGACCACUGGCCCAGGCUGGUCAGCGCCUGCCAGAGAACCCACAAACUCUUUUAUUUUGUUGUCUGACCUCUAAAAUCAUUUA
RNAcentral lists this unclassified non-coding RNA (158 nucleotides) under uncultured Helotiales. RNAcentral describes it as "sequence contains ITS1". Lineage: Eukaryota; Fungi; Ascomycota; Leotiomycetes; Helotiales. The record is from RNAcentral.